Long non-coding RNA from Helianthus annuus (common sunflower), 907 nucleotides. RefSeq lists it as uncharacterized. Lineage: Eukaryota; Viridiplantae; Streptophyta; Magnoliopsida; Asterales; Asteraceae. The transcript is spliced from 3 exons. The record is from RefSeq and is a predicted model, not a curated record.
UUUCCCUUAAUUUGGUUGCCUGCAACCUAUGUUCUAUCCCUCUCAAUCCCCACUGUCAAACACACAGCAUCCACACCAUCAAACCCCCACCUUCACACCCGAUUCCCUUGUUUCACCGGCGACUAGCCGGUGUCGGCACAACUCAGGCAACCGGCCUCCCUUCUCCGACGCGACCACCCUCUCCCUUCGUCUUUCACGCACUCCCACACGACCCUUCCUCCCUUUGACGGACGAACGACCACCACGACCGCCGUCAGGUGGUGGCGUGAAGACAAGACAGAGAGAGACGAGUCGAAGGCGGUUCGACGACGACUAUUGACGACAAUAGUACUGUGAGCGACGGCCGCUGGCGGCGGAGCCGCGGCAGCAGUGGGUUCGACACGGGUGGCGGCGGCCUGUGAUGGUCCUCCGACGGAUUUUCCAAACAGGUUCAAGCAACAACUCAACAGGUUUACUCCUUUCAGUUUUCGGUUCGGGUUUUAGUUGCAUCUCGGUUUGGUUUGGGUCACGCUUCGACUCGUGUUUCAAGUUCUGGUCAGUUGUCUUGGUCCGAGUCUCGGUUCAGCCGGAGAACCGAAGCCGCCGGAGACACGGUCAUCGCCGGAGAUCAAGAAGAUGAUUGGAGAACAAAUCAGAAACGCCCAAACUGAGUUCGGAUAACCCUCGUUGUUCUAAGUCCUCCAUCCUUACUCGUGCGUAUUUCAAGGAAUUCUUAUACGCAAUCAAUGUUUUGAGAUGACGUUGAUGAUGUAUGGAAUCUAGUAGGAUACGUAGAUACACACUUUAAAUUUUGUAUUCUUAUUGUAUGGUAUUUCAUUAUUCAUGUUGUACUUUGUUUCAAAUUCUUGUAAUUGAUUCUUUAGAAAUGAAAUGAAAUUUACUAAUUAAAUACUUGUCACAAUAUUUA